RNAcentral lists this non-coding RNA (21 nucleotides) under Caenorhabditis elegans. Lineage: Eukaryota; Metazoa; Nematoda; Chromadorea; Rhabditida; Rhabditidae. The record is from RNAcentral.
UGUGUCAGUUUUAUUGUGGAA